This is a non-coding RNA of Microcebus murinus (gray mouse lemur), 3260 nucleotides long. NCBI's taxonomy places the organism in Eukaryota, Metazoa, Chordata, Mammalia, Primates, Cheirogaleidae. The record is from RefSeq and is a predicted model, not a curated record.
UUACUCUAGUGUUCUGCCAUGAACAUGACUCAGCUUUAUUCCCUCUCACUACUGACUGCCUUAAUUUUUUCCUCUGCUCAUCUUUUCUGUAGUUCCUAGUUUCUAUUUUACUCAUUGUUUCUGUUCCCUUAUUUGUUUAUUUUUUCUUUUAUUUUAGUACAAAUCUGAAGGAAGCUGAAAGAGAAAGGUGCCAUAGUCGGCAGGAUUCUGCUCCUUUAUAAUUUUGUUGCCUCUUGCACUUAUCAAUGGGACUGAAACACAACGUGAAGACUGCUGUCGAUCUUGAAGUUUCUGCAAAGAAGUAUGCACCCGAAGCCUCUUUGUGCAUGAAGGUAGGAUUGGGCACUGGGCUUGCCAUGGAGAAAGCUAUUGGGAAGGAGCUAAGCAGAUGCUGGAGGAUAUCAUUUUAUUGCAGUGGCAGCAAGCUGUCUCACCAGGUUGUUGGAGCACCCUGGGAGGGGAACUGUUUGGCACUGGCAAACAAAGGAGAAAGAAAAACACCAAGCAUAUGUGCCUUCAAUAAACACCUGAAGCAAAACCAAGGGAGUCUCCUCCCAGGUCUCACAUCGCAGCUUUCUUCAUGGUAAAUAUGUGACCCAGAAGUCCAUGGGACAGUCUCCAUAUCCUCAGUCAUUUGCCCGAGCCUUCCCAGGGUAAAAACCUGUUCAAGAUGUCACAUUUUCUAUCCCUGGUAUGCAGUUAGUGCCUGUCCUUCAUUUCAUCUGUGACUUCUGAUCUCUCUAAGCCAGGAAGUUGGAACAACUUAGAAUCUGAGAUUUCAUUAGGGAAAUGUGCUCUCUUUCCUCACCCCACUCCCUCUGUCAGUCAAUAGAAGUGGUUGAGUCCUUUCCCUUUGCAGACUCAUCAUUAGUGACAGAGUGGGGCAGGGGGAGUGGUACAAGGCCACAAAACCUGAAGAGAUUGCCAUUUUAUGUUGGGGAUGGCAGGGAACACGCCUGGAAGACUAGCCCAAAGUUCUCUGUUAUAGCCUGGCUCAAAAUUCAUCAUCUCCAGGAAGCCUCCUUUUCUUUUUAUCUGACCUGCCCCCCUCAUCAGAGGCUAUCUUGAAUUAUAGGGAUAUGUGUAGACAUUGUAGCUCCACUGAAGGCACAGGCCCUUUAGGGGGAAUGUCCAGGUCUUCCUCUAAUUUGUAAAACCCAUAGUGCCUGUCACAAGGUAAGUGUUUGGUAAAUGUUAAAUGAAUCACAUAGGCUUUGGAGUAAAUGUUACUACAAAGUAACAUUAUUCCAAAGAACGCCAUUAAUGGUGUUCUUUUCUACCCACCUAGCUCUUGAUUGUCUACACAGGGUCAUCACAUCCCAUUUUUCCUUGAAUCCUCACCAUGGCCUAUAUGGUUUCUGCUCUCAGGGAAAGGCUAGGAUGCUGGAUGCACUGUUAUAGACUUAUAAAAUUUGUUACCUUUGACAAAUGUGCUAUAAAGGGAGGAAUAAAAUACAUUUUAUUGGAAUGACUAAGAGGUUGUCAUUUCUCUUGACCAAAUAAAGUAUUUCUAAUGGAAAAGUCCAGAUGGUAUGGCCCAGGGAUUGUCUUUUAGGCUUUAUGAGCUUAAAUAUUUUACUUUUUGGUUGCUGCUCCAAGCUUUGCAAAGACCAGUUCCCUAAUCAUCCCAUUACCCCUUCAAAUACCUUUCCUGAGUCCCUGGGAGCCUCCCCCUCCAAUGUUUUCACCUUGGGUGACAAUAACACACAGCACUUAUACAGAGUGCCCUCUUUGCACAUGCCCCAUGACAACCUGCUGCUGGCCUGGCAGCAGUGAGCACCUCCCUGUGAGACAGAAUGCUUCCUGGGCAUGAUUGUACUCAUACGGAUGGUCCAUCAGUGUUUGGCCUCUUGGUCCAACACUACUAUGACCCUCUCCAAUUGCCCAGAAAUCACUCCUUGUUGAACAUAUCCUGUUGUUCUACAGACACCAAAAGCUGUCCUUUCCAUCGGGCAGAUGGCAAGCUCACCGCCCUGAUGCAAGUCUGGAGCCACUAGGGAGCGCCCUUUCCCUCUGGCUCCCGCCUUCAGGUGGGGAACUCCAUGUGGCCCAUCUUCUAGUCCCUUCCCCUCAGGUCUCUGCUUCAUCAAGUUUUAGCCCAAAGUAAGACCGCAGUCCCACAGCCACAGAGAAAUGAACUUUUUGCUAACUGGAAGCCUGCAGUGAUCAAGUCAGUCUUUCCCCGCCCUCAUUCCUAGAGGCUGGAGAGCCCCCACCUCUCUGUGACCCACUCACCCCCAACCAUGGGAAGAGGGAAGGCCAAAAAGGGAGAGUGGGAGGGGAAGAUUCAGGAUGAGAGGGAUGAUCAGCUGUGAGGGGAGAGGGCAAGUCCCAGGAAAUGUUGACUCCUUCCUUUCCAUCCUGCCGUGCAGUCUUUUUCUUUUGUAGCAUUGCCUCCAGUGAAACCCCCAGGCUGUGGAGUGAUCAGAUAGGCACCUUUACCCCCAGAGUCAGUUCCUCAAUUGGCUGGCUUUCCGAGGUGCAGACCACCAGAGAUUCUCAUCUAGGUUCACUGGAAGUGACUUAAAUCUUCCUUUCUGUGUCCUCCCCUUUAUUCCAUUCCCUAAACCCACCAAACACUAAGGGCAGGCUCCCUUUGGAUGCCUGGGCAGUAAAACUAGCUCAUUUUCCUAGGAGACCCAGGGUGAUUUCUCAGUGUAGUUAUCCCUGUGUCUGCCUCUGUUUCCUCGGGGCUACUUUGCUAAAACAGAAACACAGGCCUGGGCACCUAACUGUGCCUUUGUGCUCUGAGUGGGGUGCCGCCACACGCAAAAACGCCCAGAGAGGCAGUGAGGGGCUGGAGCUAAACACUUGGUGCUGGGCUUUGCUGAUGAUGGUAUAAUGUGACACUGUACAAUCGCAUGCUGGAUUUCACAUUUUCUCUAUAAAACAUUUAUUUUUCCUGAUACAGUAUUUUAGUCUUUUUGAUAAUGCUAGAUUUUCAAUUGACUGAAUUUUAUUUCCUUUGUAUUCCCAUAGUGAACAGUUCAUUUAGGUAGAUGCCCUAUACCCAGGUAAUCCUGAUAGAUUAACUGCUACACCUCCCUUCCCCCUUUUCUCACAGUGGACUUCUAUUAGGUUAUUCUCACUCUGAGAACUCUCCAUUAAUAAUUUCUUUUCCACAGUUAACAAUAAAGCUUUUUAAAUGAAGAGGUUAACUUCUUUUUAAAUGCCUAAAGGCACAUUCUGACAAGUUUUUUGCUUCUUUUCACUUUCUUGAUUUUUGAUAUAUGCAAAGCAAAUAAAUUGAAUAAAGCCUG